UACGGGGGGGGCAAGCGUUGUUCGGAAUUACUGGGCGGAAAGGGCUCGUAGGCGGCCAACUAAGUCAGACGUGAAAUCCCUCGGCUUAACCGGGGAACUGCGUCUGAUACUGGAUGGCUUGAGUUUGGGAGAGGGAUGCGGAAUUCCAGGUGUAGCGGUGAAAUGCGUAGAUAUCUGGAGGAACACCGGUGGCGAAGGCGGCAUCCUGGACCAACACUGACGCUGAGGAGCGAAAGCCAGGGGAGCAAACGGG
Molecule: ribosomal RNA, 253 nt
Filed under: uncultured bacterium
Lineage: Bacteria
Description: partial 16S ribosomal RNA
Rfam family: Bacterial small subunit ribosomal RNA
Source: RNAcentral